UACGUAGGGACCGAGCGUUGUCCGGAUUCAUUGGGCGUAAAGGGCUCGUAGGCGGCCAACUAAGUCGGACGUGAAAUCCCUCGGCUUAACCGGGGAACUGCGUCUGAUACUGGAUGGCUUGAGGUUGGGAGAGGGAUGCGGAAUUCCAGGUGUAGCGGUGAAAUGCGUAGAUAUCUGGAGGAACACCGGUGGCGAAGGCGGCAUCCUGGACCAAUUCUGACGCUGAGGAGCGAAAGCCAGGGGAGCAAACGGG
Molecule: ribosomal RNA, 253 nt
Filed under: uncultured bacterium
Lineage: Bacteria
Description: partial 16S ribosomal RNA
Rfam family: Bacterial small subunit ribosomal RNA
Source: RNAcentral